UAGAUACCCUGUUAUUCCAAUAAUAAAAUUUUAAUACUUGAGUAGUAAAUAGUUAUAAUCUAUAAACUUAAAGAAUUUGGCGGUAUUUUAGUCUAAUUAGAGGAGCCUGUUCUGUAAAUGAUGUAACACGUGGAAUUUUUCUUUUUUUUGUAAAAACAGUUUGUAUACCGUCAUUAAUAAAUAAUUUAUUUAAAAGGGUAUUAAGAGAGAUUAAUUAUCUAGUAUAUUAGAUCAGGGUGCAGCUAAUAAAAAAGUGUGAAAUGGGUUACAAUAAAAUUAAUUUAUGACGGAUUUGGUAAAUGAAAUAGUUUUAAUAAAGGUGGAUUUAAAAGUAAAUAUAUUUUUAGAGAGAUAUAUUGAUUAUAGCUCUGAAAUGUGUACAAAUUGCCC
RNAcentral lists this ribosomal RNA (390 nucleotides) under Pasiphaea sivado. RNAcentral's name for it is "partial 12S ribosomal RNA". Lineage: Eukaryota; Metazoa; Arthropoda; Malacostraca; Decapoda; Pasiphaeidae. The record is from RNAcentral.